GGCCGUUGGGGCGGUUCUGCCAGGUGUCUUUCGGAAAUACCGAUACCACGUCGAUGUCGGCGGUGCCGGCUCCGUCGAUGACCAC
This 85-nucleotide transfer RNA is filed under the name Hymenobacter cavernae. RNAcentral's name for it is "tRNA-Arg". Lineage: Bacteria; Pseudomonadati; Bacteroidota; Cytophagia; Cytophagales; Hymenobacteraceae. The record is from RNAcentral.